This is a long non-coding RNA of Hemicordylus capensis (graceful crag lizard), 551 nucleotides long. RefSeq lists it as uncharacterized. The record is from RefSeq and is a predicted model, not a curated record. The transcript is spliced from 4 exons. Lineage: Eukaryota; Metazoa; Chordata; Lepidosauria; Squamata; Cordylidae.
CAAAAACCAGGCAACCUCACAGAAGCCUCACUCUGGACUCUUGAUCCUCUACCUGGAGACAUCGCUCAUGAGAGUCACUAUGGAGGUGCAAGACCCAGAACCCUGGGAUGAUGGGAGGCAGUGAAUGUUCUGAAAUGGAGGCUGGAGGCACUGAUGGUGAAUGUGGUCUAGUGAACUGAGAAUGCAACCAGACAAGCUGGAUGUGCUGUUGAAUGCAGAUUUGAAGAUCUUGGAGAGCUGGGUACAUGUGGUACUUUACCUCUUCUGGCUUUUGUAGUUCUGCUGGUCUUCCAGUUUCAACGAGCGAAAGGAGCUUGCAUUUCUCUGUGUAAUGAAGCUGCCCUGAAUCCAGGAGCUGGCUCUUGUGGUGGUUCCAUAUGCAGUCAAAUUAACCAUGCAAUACACUAGGACAAAGAAAGCUGCAUAUAUCCACUCAUCUACAACAAGACUAUGCUGUAACAGUUUGGAAAUCUGGUACUCGUACUGGCAUUCUAAGAUACCCAGCUAAUUUUUAAGUUCAUUAUUGUUAAAUAAAUUUUAAAGUUUUUUCA